This 1372-nucleotide ribosomal RNA is filed under the name uncultured bacterium. Its description in RNAcentral is "bacterial SSU rRNA". It matches the Rfam family "Bacterial small subunit ribosomal RNA", at positions 28 to 1381 of the family's 1533-position model. The record is from RNAcentral.
GAUGAACGCUGGCGGCGUGCCUAAUACAUGCAAGUCGAGCGAACGGACGAGAAGCUUGCUUUUCUGAUGUUAGCGGCGGACGGGUGAGUAACACGUGGAUAACCUACCUAUAAGACUGGGAUAACUUCGGGAAACCGGAGCUAAUACCGGAUAAUAUUUUGAACCGCAUGGUUCAAAAGUGAAAGACGGUCUUGCUGUCACUUAUAGAUGGAUCCGCGCUGCAUUAGCUAGUUGGUAAGGUAACGGCUUACCAAGGCAACGAUGCAUAGCCGACCUGAGAGGGUGAUCGGCCACACUGGAACUGAGACACGGUCCAGACUCCUACGGGAGGCAGCAGUAGGGAAUCUUCCGCAAUGGGCGAAAGCCUGACGGAGCAACGCCGCGUGAGUGAUGAAGGUCUUCGGAUCGUAAAACUCUGUUAUUAGGGAAGAACAUAUGUGUAAGUAACUGUGCACAUCUUGACGGUACCUAAUCAGAAAGCCACGGCUAACUACGUGCCAGCAGCCGCGGUAAUACGUAGGUGGCAAGCGUUAUCCGGAAUUAUUGGGCGUAAAGCGCGCGUAGGCGGUUUUUUAAGUCUGAUGUGAAAGCCCACGGCUCAACCGUGGAGGGUCAUUGGAAACUGGAAAACUUGAGUGCAGAAGAGGAAAGUGGAAUUCCAUGUGUAGCGGUGAAAUGCGCAGAGAUAUGGAGGAACACCAGUGGCGAAGGCGACUUUCUGGUCUGUAACUGACGCUGAUGUGCGAAAGCGUGGGGAUCAAACAGGAUUAGAUACCCUGGUAGUCCACGCCGUAAACGAUGAGUGCUAAGUGUUAGGGGGUUUCCGCCCCUUAGUGCUGCAGCUAACGCAUUAAGCACUCCGCCUGGGGAGUACGACCGCAAGGUUGAAACUCAAAGGAAUUGACGGGGACCCGCACAAGCGGUGGAGCAUGUGGUUUAAUUCGAAGCAACGCGAAGAACCUUACCAAAUCUUGACAUCCUUUGACAACUCUAGAGAUAGAGCCUUCCCCUUCGGGGGACAAAGUGACAGGUGGUGCAUGGUUGUCGUCAGCUCGUGUCGUGAGAUGUUGGGCUAAGUCCCGCAACGAGCGCAACCCUUAAGCUUAGUUGCCAUCAUUAAGUUGGGCACUCUAAGUUGACUGCCGGUGACAAACCGGAGGAAGGUGGGGAUGACGUCAAAUCAUCAUGCCCCUUAUGAUUUGGGCUACACACGUGCUACAAUGGACAAUACAAAGGGCAGCGAAACCGCGAGGUCAAGCAAAUCCCAUAAAGUUGUUCUCAGUUCGGAUUGUAGUCUGCAACUCGACUACAUGAAGCUGGAAUCGCUAGUAAUCGUAGAUCAGCAUGCUACGGUGAAUACGUUCCCGGGUCU